GAAAUGCGAUAAGUAGUGUGAAUUGCAGAAUUCAGUGAAUCAUCGAAUCUUUGAACGCACAUUGCGCUCUCUGGUAUUCCGGGGAGCAUGCCUGUUUGAGUAUCAGUAAAAUCUCUCAUAUAUGCACUCGCUUUAUUGUGUAUGUGUAUGUGGAUAUGAGUCUUCCCAGGCGAAGGUAACUUCAGGAACUGGGUGACUUAAAAUGUAUGGUUUGGCUGGGACUCUCUAAGAUCCAAUGGCCGAAAAGCGCGACAAGGACUGAAGGGCUCCGGCCUGAUAAGUUUAAUCCGCUGAACUCGGUGUUUUUGGAAUUUAUUCUUGGGAGCUAAACCCAUCGCCUUCUCCAAACUUUUAUACACUUGAGCCUUGCUUUGGCAAGGCACUUGUGAUCUUGAUCUCA
RNAcentral lists this unclassified non-coding RNA (400 nucleotides) under uncultured fungus. RNAcentral describes it as "sequence contains ITS1". The stretch from base 1 to 105 matches the Rfam family "5.8S ribosomal RNA", at positions 50 to 154 of the family's 154-position model. The record is from RNAcentral. Lineage: Eukaryota; Fungi.